UACGGGAGGCAGCAGUGGGGAAUAUUGCACAAUGGGCGCAAGCCUGAUGCAGCCAUGCCGCGUGUAUGAAAAAGGCCUUCGGGUUGUAAAGUACUUUCAGUCGUGAGGAAGGUGUUAAGGUUAAUAACCUUAGCAAUUGACGUUAGCGACAGAAGAAGCACCGGCUAACUCCGUGCCAGCAGCCGCGGUAAUACGGAGGGUGCGAGCGUUAAUCGGAAUUACUGGGCGUAAAGGGCACGCAGGCGGUUAAUUAAGUUGGAUGUGAAAUCCCCGGGCUUAACCUGGGAAUGGCAUUCAAGACUGGUUAGCUAGAGUCUUGUAGAGGGGGUAGAAUUCCAUGUGUAGCGGUGAAAUGCGUAGAGAUGUGGAGGAAUACCGGUGGCGAAGGCGGCCCCUGGACAAAGACUGACGCUCAUGUGCGAAAGCGUGGGGAGC
RNAcentral lists this ribosomal RNA (435 nucleotides) under uncultured bacterium. RNAcentral describes it as "bacterial SSU rRNA". It matches the Rfam family "Bacterial small subunit ribosomal RNA", at positions 340 to 769 of the family's 1533-position model. The record is from RNAcentral.